GGGAAAAGGGCUUCGGCCGGACAGGGAUGGGCAUGCGGCGCAUUAGGCAGUAGGCGGGGUAACGGCCCACCUAACCGACGAUGCGUAGGGGUUCUGAGAGGAAGGUCCCCCACACUGGUACUGAGACACGGACCAGACUCCUACGGGAGGCAGCAG
Molecule: ribosomal RNA, 156 nt
Filed under: uncultured bacterium
Lineage: Bacteria
Description: partial 16S ribosomal RNA
Rfam family: Bacterial small subunit ribosomal RNA
Source: RNAcentral